RNAcentral lists this unclassified non-coding RNA (1344 nucleotides) under Hevea brasiliensis (rubber tree). The record is from RNAcentral. Lineage: Eukaryota; Viridiplantae; Streptophyta; Magnoliopsida; Malpighiales; Euphorbiaceae.
AAACAUAAUUCAUGUCAAAGCACUAAGCAUUAAAAAAAUUGAUUAAAAACUCAUUAGCCCUUGGAAAGUGGAAGAUUUUCACAGAAGAGGACAUCUUUGAGAUUGGAAUGAUCCUCGCCUCACUCUCUCUCUANUUUUUACGGCAGAGGUGUUUCAUCUUCAUCUUCAUCAACCAACACCUAUAUCAUUUUCAACUACAAUUUCCCAGUUUGGUCAAGGUAGUGAUUUGGGCUAAUUUGCUUGAACGAGCCGAAGGAGGUGAAGAUGAUAGUGAUGUAUUGGGGGUGGAGUGGGUGAGGAAGAUGAGAAGGAAGCCAACGGGAUGCCGAGCUUUGAUUCUCAUUUACCCAUUUCAAAUGCACCUGGCAUAGAGGGAAGCACAAUCCACGCAUAUCGUGUCUCUGAUUUUGGGCCAUUUGAGCAAUCUGUUGCAUUUCGCUUAGAGGACGCCAUUGACCUGAGUACAAGUACGGUGUUCAAUUCAGCAAAAGCAAGUGGCCAAGCAGUCUCUUUUGAUCCCCUCCAUAUUGCCACUUUUGACAAGUCAACUACUUCCUUUAAUAUUAAUCCACCUGCUGCGCAAGUGGAGUCCCAGAGAUUGCCAUUAGAAAAGAAUCAACAGUUGAACCUGGUAUCCAUAUCUAGUGGUAAUACGGAGAACUGGGGAGAGUCCAAUAUGGCUGAUGCCAGCCCAAGGACUGAUAUAUCAACUGAUGCGGACACUGAUGAUAAAAAUCUGGGGUUUGAUAGAGGUCUAUCUAUUGUUGUUGCAGCUUCAGAUUCCAGCGACAGAUCAAAGGAUAAACUGGAUCAGAAGACUCUUCGUAGACUGGCCCAAAAUAGAGAAGCUGCAAGAAAAAGCCGGUUGAGAAAGAAAGCCUAUGUCCAACAACUGGAGAGUAGCCGCUUGAAGCUGACGCAACUGGAACAGGAGCUCCAGCGAGCACGCCAGCAGGGAAUCUUUAUAUCAAGCUCAGGGGACCAAGCCCAUUCAAUGAGUGGAAAUGGGGCCAUGGCAUUUGAUGUGGAAUAUGCGCGGUGGCUGGAAGAGCAAAAUCGACAAAUUAAUGAGCUGAGAUCAGCUGUCAAUUCUCAUGCGGGUGAUGCUGAACUUCGCAUUAUCAUAGAUGGUAUAAUGGCUCAUUAUGAUGAAAUUUUUCGGCUAAAGGGAAAUGCAGCCUCAGCUGAUGUUUUCCAUUUGCUAUCUGGCAUGUGGAAGACACCUGCUGAGAGGUGUUUCUUGUGGCUUGGUGGCUUCCGUUCAUCAGAGCUCCUCAAGCUUCUUGUGAACCAGUUGGAGCCUUUGACUGAGCAGCAGUUGGUAGGCAUAGGUAAUCUGCAGCA